Oncorhynchus tshawytscha (Chinook salmon) is the source of this 1078-nucleotide long non-coding RNA. The record is from Ensembl. Lineage: Eukaryota; Metazoa; Chordata; Actinopteri; Salmoniformes; Salmonidae.
CCAGAAGGUCAGGACUCUGACUGGGCCACUCCAGAAGGUCAGGACUCUGACUGGGCCACUCCAGAAGGUCAGGACUCUGACUGGGCCGCUCCAGAAGGUCAGGACUCUGACUGGGCCACUCCAGAAGGCGUAUUUUCUUCUGUUCAUGCUAUUCUGUGUUUUGGGUCAUUAUCCUGUUGCAUCACCCAACUUCUGGGUGAUGUCCUGUUGAGCUUCAAUCGGCAGACAGAUAGCCUUACAUUCUCCUGCAAAAUGUCUUGACAAACUUGGGACAUCUGUCGAUGAUAGCAAGCUGUCCAGGCCCUGCGGCAGCAAAGCAGCCCCAAACCAUGAUGCUCCCUCAACCUUACUUUACAGUUGGGAUGAGGUUUGGAUGUUGGUGUGCUGUGCCUUUUUUUCUCCACACAUAGUGUUGUGUGUUCCUUCCAAACAACACAACUUUAGUAUCAUCUGUCCACAGAAUAUUCUGCCAGUAGCGCUGUGGAACAGCUUCUGACGUGCAGCAAUGUUUUUCUUUGGACAGCAGUGGCUUCUUCUGUGAUUCCCUCCCAUGAACACCGUUCUUGUUUAGUGUUUUAUGUAUCGUAGACUCGUCAACAGAGAUGUUAGCAUGGUCUAGAGAGUUCUGUAAGUCUUUCGCUGACACUCUAGGAUUCUUCUUAACCUCAUUGAGCAUUCUACUCUGUGCUCUUGCAGUCGUCUUUGCAGGACGGCCACUCCUAGGGAGAGAAGCAACAGUGCUGAACUUUCUCCAUUUAUAGACAAUUUUUCUUACCGUGGACUGAUGAACAUCAAGGCUUUUAGAGAUACUUUUGUAAUCCUUUCCAGCUCCAUCCACGUCAACUAUUCUUAAUCUUAGGUCUUCUGAGAUCUCUUUUGUUCGAGUCAUGGUUCACAUCAAGCAAUGCUUCUUGUGAAUAGCAAACUCAAAUUUUGUGAGUGUUUUUGAUAGGGCAGGGCAGCUCUAACCAAGAUCUCCAAUCUCAUCUCAGUGAUUGUACUCCAGGUUAGCUGACUCCUGACUCCAAUUAGUUUUUGGAGAAGACAUUAGCCUAGGGGUUCACAUACUUUUUCCAAC